This 1426-nucleotide ribosomal RNA is filed under the name Bonamia sp. ex Ostrea angasi. RNAcentral describes it as "SSU rRNA". It matches the Rfam family "Eukaryotic small subunit ribosomal RNA", at positions 374 to 1804 of the family's 1831-position model. The record is from RNAcentral. Lineage: Eukaryota; Endomyxa; Ascetosporea; Haplosporida; Haplosporidiidae.
GGUUCGAUUCCGGAGAGGCAGCCUGAGAAACGGCUACCACAUCCACGGGAGGCAGCAGGUGCGCAAAUUACCCAAUUCUGACUCAGAGAGGUAGUGACAAGAAAUAACGAUCGGCGGCCUUCGGUUGCCUAUUCGGAAUGAGAACAAUGUAAAAGCCUUAUCGAAUUCCAGCGGAGGGCAAGCCUGGUGCCAGCAGCCGCGGUAAUACCAGCUCCGCUAGCGUAUACUAAAGUUGUUGCUGUUAAAACGCUCGUAGUUGGAUAUCUGCCCCGCCCGGGCCGGACUCGCGACGCACCUGCGCCUGCGGCCGGCCGCCGGGGCAUAAUUCAGGAACGCCGGUCUGGCCAUUCGAUUGGUCGGGCCGCUGGUCCUGAUCCUUUACUUUGAGAAAAUUAAAGUGCUCAAAGCAGGCUCGCGCCUGAAUGCAUUAGCAUGGAAUAAUAAGACACGACUUCGGCGCCGCCACUCGUGGCGGGUGUUUUGUUGGUUUUGAGCUGGAGUAAUGAUUGAUAGAAACAAUUGGGGGUGCUAGUAUCGCCGGGCCAGAGGUAAAAUUCUUUAAUUCCGGUGAGACUAACUUAUGCGAAAGCAUUCACCAAGCGUGUUUUCUUUAAUCAAGAACUAAAGUUGGGGGAUCGAAGACGAUCAGAUACCGUCGUAGUCCCAACCAUAAACGAUGUCGACUAAGCAUUGGGCUACCAAACUUCCUCAGCACUUUAUGAGAAAUCAAAGUUUUCGGACUCAGGGGGAAGUAUGCUCGCAAGAGUGAAACUUAAAGGAAUUGACGGAAGGGCACCACAAGAUGUGGAGCCUGCGGCUUAAUUUGAUUCAACACGGGAAAACUUACCAGGUCCAGACAUAGUAAGGAUUGACAGAUUAAAGUUCUUUCUUGAUUCUAUGCAUGGUGGUGCAUGGCCGUUCUUAGUUCCUAGGGUGACCCCUCUGGUUAAUUCCGAUAACGGACGAGACCCCACCCAUCUAACUAGCCGGCGCUAACCCGGCGCCCAGCGCCCGUUAGCGGGGUGCAGCAUUGCGCGCCCGGCUUCUUAGAGGGACUAUCUGUGUCUCCAGCAGAUGGAAGAUUGGGGCAAUAACAGGUCAGGAUGCCCUUAGAUGCUCUGGGCUGCACGCGCGCUACAAUGAUGCGUUCAACGAGUUUGACCCGGCUUGACAAGGCCGGGUAAUCUUCAACGCGCAUCCAAGUGGGGAUAGAUGAUUGCAAUUGUUCAUCUUGAACAAGGAAUAUCUAGUAAACGCAAGUCAUCAACUUGCAUUGAUUACGUCCCUGCCCUUUGUACACACCGCCCGUCGCUUCUACCGAUUGAAUAAUGAGGUGAAUUAGGUGGAUAAGAGCCGCCUCGGCGCGUUCUUAGAAGCUUUGUGAACCUUGUUAUUUAGAGGAAGGAAAAGUCGUAACAAGGUUUCC